Molecule: long non-coding RNA, 3226 nt
Filed under: Solanum tuberosum (potato)
Lineage: Eukaryota; Viridiplantae; Streptophyta; Magnoliopsida; Solanales; Solanaceae
Description: long non-coding RNA (STUB_LNC001661)
Source: RNAcentral
GUUUAUAUGUUUUUUCAGAAGUUUAUCUAUCUGAAGCAGAUUUGAAGAAUCGUUGCUUGCAAAAGAUUGAAACCUUUUUAAAAGGUUGUGGAAGGAGUUUUCAAGAUUUUUCAACAAUGCCAUUACCUGUCUAUAAUGAGGAUGAGGUCGAUUAUAGCAACAGAUUAAUUCGAGAUGAAAUGCGUUACAAUAAAGGUGCUUUAACUGAUGAACAUCAAGAAUUGCUACAAAAUUUAACUGAUGAACAUAAAGCAGUUUACAAAAAGAUUAUGUCAGCAGUUAUUACAAAUAGUGGUGGAUUUUUCUUUUUAUACGGCUUUGGAGGUACAGGAAAAACUUUUAUUUGGAGGACAUUAUCAGCAGCUAUACGAUCUAAAGGAGAUAUUGUUUUGACAGUAGCUUCUAGCGGGAUUGCAUCUCUAUUGUUGCCUGGUGGUAGAACAUCACAUUCAAGAUUUGUUAUCCCUUUGAAUAUAAAUGAAGAUUCAACAUGUAAUAUAAAGCAAGGUACUCCUUUAGCAAAUUUGAUAGUCAAGGCAAAGUUGAUUAUUUGGGAUGAGGCUCCUAUGAUGCAUAAAUAUUGUUUUGAAGCUUUGGAUAAAACUUUAAGAGAUAUUAUUAGCUAUAAAGAUGCAUCUAAGGCAGAAUUACCAUUUGGAGGAAAAACAGUUGUUCUUGGAGGUGACUUUAGACAAAUUUUACCCGUUAUUCCAAAAGGUACUAGACAAGAUAUUGUUAAUGCAAUUGUAAAUUCAUCAUAUUUAUGGCCACAAUGUCAACUAUUGACUCUAACAAAGAAUGUGAGGUUACAAAGCAAUGCAAACGAUACACAUUUGGAAGAAUUGAGAGAUUUUUCUAAUUGGAUAUUGAAAGUUGGGGAUGGUAGCAUUGGAAGUUCAAUUGAUGGAAUAGACAAAGUUUUAAUACCUAAUGAUCUUCUAAUAAAUGAGUAUAUUGAUCCUAUAGCAUCUAUUGUUGAAAGUAUUUAUCCAGAUUUCAUCACUAAUUGCAAUGAUCCAGAGUACCUUCAACAAAGAGCCAUUCUUGCUCCAACUCUUGAUAUGGUUGAAUCGAUAAAUCAGUAUAUGAUUACUCUUAAUCAUAAUCCUGAGAAAUCAUAUUUAAGUUCUGAUAAAAUUUGCAGGUCUGAUCAUACUUAUUCAGCUUUGGAACAUGUACAUACCCCUGAAUUUUUGAACAAUAUUAAAUGUUCUGGCGUUCCAAAUCAUUCAAUCACUUUAAAGGUUGGGGUUCCAGUGAUGUUACUAAGAAAUAUCGAUCAGUCAGCGGGAUUAUGUAAUGGAACUAGAUUGAUUGUUACUAAACUUGGAAAUCAAGUAAUUGAAGCAAAGGUUUUAUCUGGACAGAUGGUUGGCCGGAAGGUAUUUAUUCCAAGAAUGACUUUAACACCUUCAGAUUAUAGAAUUCCUUUUAAGUUUCAAAGAAGACAGUUUCCUAUAACUGUAUCAUUUGCUAUGACAAUCAAUAAGAGUCAAGGACAGUCUUUAUCUCAUGUGGGCUUAUUUCUGAAGAAGCCAGUGUUUACGCAUGGACAUUUAUAUGUUGCUCUUUCCAAAGUGACAAAUAGAAAGGGAUUAAAAAUACUUACUUACGAUGAAGAUGGGCAAAUAAGUAAUGAAGCCACAAAUGUAGUAUAUAAAGAAGUACUCCAAGACUUAUUUGACAUACAUUGUAUUUUUUAACUUUUAUAUAUAUACUACAAUUUUUGUUGUGUAUGUUACAAUAACUUUUAUAUUAACUGUUAUAUAUGUUUUAGGUUUCAUUAAUAAUGUAAUUUAACUUAGUAAGUUAACAUUAAGUAGGUACACAUUAAUAAAAAAAGACAAAGAAAGUCCAAAUUACUUUGAAAUAUGCAAUAGUCGAUAUGUACUAACCUUAAUUAGCUAAUUAUAAUCACUGCUAUUUUCCAUCGAUACACUAGCAGAAAAAAAAUCUUCCCAUUAUCAACUUCUCCGCCAUCUACAAUACACUUAUUAAAAAGCAAAUAUGAAAAUAUAUUAGGCAAUUUUUUUCAGUUAGAAUGCAUUAAGACAGAAAUUGUAUUAUGAAACAUUGCUCAAAAUAGUUGUAUAUAUAUAAAUUAUCAUAAACUACACAAAUCUAUAUAUUAAUACUACUAUUAAACAUUAAUAAUAAAUACAACUUCAUAGUUAUCAGAUAGUUUUAAAUACGAGUACAGAUAGAUUAUAAGACUUCACACAUUUACAAUCUUUACUAUUUUUUUAACUUUACUCAUUUAUCUAAAAAGUAAAAGUCACAAGUUCCUAUAUUUUAAGGUCAUUUUAAACAAAUUAUGAUUUGGAAACCAAGAAAAUGAUAACUUUUUCUUAUAAUAUAUAAUAAACUGUGUCUUGAAAAUUCACAUUAAAAAUUUUCAAGUACAAUUUACUCCGGCUUGCUUGGAAAACUGUAACUCAGAUUAUAUAUACAAAAUCUCUGAAUCACCAAACAAGAUACCAAAAUCUUUAUCAACAUAAGCUUAUUAUAGCUUUGCAAUAACAUGCAUUUACUACUUUAUAAUUUAAAUUAAAGUUAAACUAUUAGCCGUAUCUGACCAUCCCAAAUAGAUAUGAAGGAGACAUAACCUGAUAAAUCUCAUUAAAAUUAAUCCAAAACAAGAACUACUUCAUGCUAAUAUAUUCUUCAAUUGAAGUUUUCAUUAUGAAGGAUCAAUAUAAAAAAAUGUCAAAAAUUUAACUCACCAUUUCACAGUACAUUGAAUUUUUGUCGGAACGAUACUAGAUCUGAAAACAACUCCUAUCAAAUGUUUUAUGCAAUAUAUAUUAAUCUUAACCUGCUUGAAGAAAGUCAUUUUUAUGCUAUGUUAUCAUUUGCAUGUUCAAAUGUUGAAAUUCUAAAAUUAACUUUACCAUAUAUUUGCAGAAGACAUUCAUAGUAGAAAAGACAAUAGAAGAUUUACUAAAGAGAUGAAAGAAAUAGCACUCACAACAUUGACAAAUCACUCAGAAACUUAGCGAAGAUCCACACUCGGAAGAGGUACCUCACCUUUCAAAUCUGGAAAAUUUUGUUCAUAUUUUGGUCUCUUUCCAGAGAGAUCCAUUUUGUUUGUUUUUUACGUUUUUCCCUUUUUACUUUCCAAUUACUUUUGGAUUUUGGUGGGUUGUCCAAAAGUCUAUUUGAUUUUACUUUUUUCCAAUUCACUUAGAUUGACCAUAUUUUAAUAAAACUAAUAAAUACAUAUACA